CCGCGCUGUUCUUCUGGGGCGUCUCGGCGAAGGUGAGGCGGGACGGCCACCCCCGAGUGCGAACCUCCCCGGAAGGGCCCUCUGCCAACAUCCCCGACAGACGUUUUCUGCAUCCUCUGGGACCCGCAGGCUUGAGUAUUCCCCGGAAUUGGCCCAGGUCCACGCAGUCCAUCCUCUCUGGCCGCAGCAGCUCGAAGCCCAUGGGGUUUUACAAGAGUUGUAUUGGUGGGACUUCCCUGGUGGUCCAGUGGUGAAGAAUCUGCCUUCCAAUGCAGGGGGCGCGUGUUCGAUUCCUGGUCAGGGAACUAAGAUCCCACAUGCUGCAGAGCAACUAAGCCCAUGCGCCACAACUACUGAGCUCUCGCACCUCAAUGAGAGAGCCUGCAUACCGCAAACUACAGAGCCCAUGCUCCCUGGAGCCCACGUGCCACAACUAGAGAGAGAAAACCCACAUGCCACAACUAGAGAGAAGCCUGCAUGCCACAACUAGAGAGAAGUCCACGCACCACAACGAAGAGCCCACGUGCUGCAAUGGAAGAUCCCACAUGCCUCAAUGAAGAUCCCGCAUGCUACAACUAAGACCCAAAGCAGACAAUAAAUAAAUAAAUAAAUAUUAAGAAAAA
This is a long non-coding RNA of Balaenoptera ricei (Rice's whale), 623 nucleotides long. RefSeq lists it as uncharacterized. NCBI's taxonomy places the organism in Eukaryota, Metazoa, Chordata, Mammalia, Artiodactyla, Balaenopteridae. The record is from RefSeq and is a predicted model, not a curated record. The transcript has 2 exons.